RNAcentral lists this ribosomal RNA (429 nucleotides) under Verrucomicrobiota bacterium. RNAcentral describes it as "Verrucomicrobia bacterium partial 16S ribosomal RNA". It matches the Rfam family "Bacterial small subunit ribosomal RNA", at positions 355 to 776 of the family's 1533-position model. The record is from RNAcentral. Lineage: Bacteria; Pseudomonadati; Verrucomicrobiota.
UAGGGAAUCUUCCGCAAUGGACGAAAGCCUGACGGAGCAACGCCGCGUGAGUGAAGAAGGAUUUCGGUUUGUAAAACUCUGUUGUUAGGGAAGAAAAAAUGUAUAGUAACUAUAUACAAAAGAGACGGUACCUAACCAGAAAGCCACGGCUAACUACGUGCCAGCAGCCGCGGUAAUACGUAGGUGGCAAGCGUUGUCCGGAAUUAUUGGGCGUAAAGCGCGCGCAGGUGGUUUAGAAAGUCUGAUGUGAAAGCCCACGGCUCAACCGUGGAGGGUCAUUGGAAACUAAUAAACUUGAGUGCAGGAGAGCAGAGUGGAAUUCCUAGUGUAGCGGUGAAAUGCGUAGAGAUUAGGAGGAACACCGGUGGCGAAAGCAGCUUUUUGGCCUGCAACUGACACUGAGGCGCGAAAGCGUGGGGAGCAAACAGG